GGGAAUUUAGCUCAGUGGUAGAGCGUUUGCCUAGCAAGCACAAGGCCCUGGGUUCGGUCCCCAGCUCU
This 68-nucleotide transfer RNA is filed under the name Rattus norvegicus (Norway rat). It matches the Rfam family "tRNA". Rfam says of the family: Transfer RNA (tRNA) molecules are approximately 80 nucleotides in length. Their secondary structure includes four short double-helical elements and three loops (D, anti-codon, and T loops). Further hydrogen bonds mediate the characteristic L-shaped molecular structure. tRNAs have two regions of fundamental functional importance: the anti-codon, which is responsible for specific mRNA codon recognition, and the 3' end, to which the tRNAs corresponding amino acid is attached (by aminoacyl-tRNA synthetases). tRNAs cope with the degeneracy of the genetic code in two manners: having more than one tRNA (with a specific anti-codon) for a particular amino acid; and 'wobble' base-pairing, i.e. permitting non-standard base-pairing at the 3rd anti-codon position. The record is from Rfam by way of RNAcentral. Lineage: Eukaryota; Metazoa; Chordata; Mammalia; Rodentia; Muridae.